Long non-coding RNA from Mytilus trossulus (common blue mussel), 571 nucleotides. RefSeq lists it as uncharacterized. The record is from RefSeq and is a predicted model, not a curated record. The transcript has 3 exons. NCBI's taxonomy places the organism in Eukaryota, Metazoa, Mollusca, Bivalvia, Mytilida, Mytilidae.
GGACCCUUUUGGACCCCGCGGAUCAACCAAUGAGAAGACGAUCGACGUCAAAUAGAUGUUUGCAGCUUGCAGAAUGGAAAGAAAUUUGCAGCUAAAAUUAUUUUCACUUCUAUGUGAAAAUCUAACCGAAAAACUUACCUGUUGAUUUCAAGAUACAGUAUGCCAUUCCAGGUUUGAUGAAAUAUAGAGUGAUGCUUUGAACAUGCAUGAACAUGUUGAAAUUGGAGUUUUAUGUUUAUAGACAGCAAUGAUGAUCACCUGCACCGAGACAGCAGAAGAAAGUUACUUAUUUAUAACUCAUCAUGACCAUGAUGACCAUUUAAUACUGAAAAUCUGAUUAAAAUUUGUUUGGAAAGCCACCAAAUAUUUCAAUGAGAAGUAGAAAAAAGACAGCAAUUCUAUAUCAUGUACUAAGCAGAAGCAUUUAAUUUGUGGUUUCUUUCGUGAAAUAUUUGAAAAAUCUGCAAUGUCUAACCAAGUAGUUUAUAAGAGAUCUAAAGAUAAACAUAUGACAUGUAUGAUAUUCAGAUGAAUUUGAAAGAAGGAAAUAUAUUGAUUUAUAAGACUUCAA